CAGCCACUUCGAGAAGUGCCAGCAGCUCCUGAACUCCAUAUCUGGAUCCCUUAGCACCAAGGCUAUGACAGUGGAAGGGCAGAAGCGGAAGUUGGAGGAGACUGAGCAAAUGUUAAACCAGAGAAGGGAUCUGAUGAACAAAUACCAAAACUCCAUCGAAAAGCUCGUGAAGUCGAAACCGUGAAUUGAUGUUACCUUUCUCUCGCUAGUAAGCAUUUUUUUUCCUCUCUCUCUUAAGUUUAAUACUCUGCUGAAUUGUUUCGUAGUUUAGUUUAGUUUUUACUACGGAGUUUGAAGAGCAUUUUCCUGUUGAAUAAUGUGUUUAACAUCGCCCGGAGAGAGGUCUAUUUGAUAAUUACAAGUGGGAUGCCAAUUAAUACUUGUAUGUAUUUGUUGGUAAUC
Long non-coding RNA from Morus notabilis, 402 nucleotides. RefSeq lists it as uncharacterized. The transcript is spliced from 3 exons. NCBI's taxonomy places the organism in Eukaryota, Viridiplantae, Streptophyta, Magnoliopsida, Rosales, Moraceae. The record is from RefSeq and is a predicted model, not a curated record.